GCGCCCGUAGCUCAGCUGGAUAGAGUGCUUCCCUCCGAAGGAAGAAGUCAGAGGUUCGAAUCCUCUCAAGCGCACCA
This 77-nucleotide transfer RNA is filed under the name Nevskia sp. RNAcentral describes it as "tRNA-Arg". It matches the Rfam family "tRNA". From Rfam's summary of the family: Transfer RNA (tRNA) molecules are approximately 80 nucleotides in length. Their secondary structure includes four short double-helical elements and three loops (D, anti-codon, and T loops). The record is from RNAcentral. Lineage: Bacteria; Pseudomonadati; Pseudomonadota; Gammaproteobacteria; Nevskiales; Nevskiaceae.